Molecule: ribosomal RNA, 253 nt
Filed under: uncultured bacterium
Lineage: Bacteria
Description: partial 16S ribosomal RNA
Rfam family: Bacterial small subunit ribosomal RNA
Source: RNAcentral
UACGGGGGGAGCAAGCGUUGUUCGGAUUUACUGGGCGUAAAGAGCGCGCAGGCGGUCGUUCAAGUCGAGUGUGAAAGCCCCCGGCUCAACUGGGGAGGGUCACUCGAUACUGAUCGACUUGAAGGCAGGAGAGGGAAGCGGAAUUCCCGGUGUAGUGGUGAAAUGCGUAGAUAUCGGGAGGAACACCAGUGGCGAAGGCGGCUUCCUGGCCUGUUCUUGACGCUGAGGCGCGAAAGCUGGGGGAGCAAACGGG